Molecule: ribosomal RNA, 392 nt
Filed under: uncultured bacterium
Lineage: Bacteria
Description: partial 16S ribosomal RNA
Rfam family: Bacterial small subunit ribosomal RNA
Source: RNAcentral
AUACGGAGGAUCCGAGCGUUAUCCGGAUUUAUUGGGUUUAAAGGGAGCGUAGGCGGGAGCUUAAGUCAGCGGUUAAAUGGUGCGGCUCAACCGUGCCCUGCCGUUGAAACUGGGUUUCUUGAGAGUGCAAGAGGCGGAUGGAAUUCCUGGUGUGGCGGGGGAAUGCUUAGAUAUCAUGAAGAACUCCGAUUGCGAAGGCAGUCCGCUGGGGCACGUCUGACGCUGAUGCUCGAAGGUGCGGGAAUCAAACAGGAUUAGAUACCCUGGUAGUCCGCACGGUAAACGAUGAUUACCCGCUGUCGGCGGUAGACAGUCGGCGGCCAAGCGAAAGCGAUAAGUAAUCCACCUGGGGAGUACGCCGGCAACGGUGAAACUCAAAUGAAUUGACGGGG